CAGCAGCCGCGGUAAUACGUAGGGUGCAAGCGUUAAUCGGAAUUACUGGGCGUAAAGGGAGCGUAGGCGGACAUUUAAGUCAGGGGUGAAAUCCCGGGGCUCAACCUCGGAAUUGCCUUUGAUACUGGGUGUCUUGAGUAUGAGAGAGGUAUGUGGAACUCCGAGUGUAGAGGCGAAAUUCGUAGAUAUUCGGAAGAACACCAGUGGCGAAGGCGACAUACUGGCUCAUUACCGACGCUGAGGCUCGAAAGCGUGGGGAGCAAACAGGAUUAGAUACCCGUGUAGUCCCUGUCUCUUAUAC
Molecule: ribosomal RNA, 301 nt
Filed under: uncultured bacterium
Lineage: Bacteria
Description: partial 16S ribosomal RNA
Rfam family: Bacterial small subunit ribosomal RNA
Source: RNAcentral